GGUUUACUGAAGAAGAAACAAACUUAGUAUCUAUGGACGAACACCAUCUGUUAAUGACCAGUAGUCGGUUGUUUAGAUUGAACGUGCAAGAAUAGAUUGUCUUUGACAGCAGGAAAUUCGUCCCAAAUAUACAGAAGGGCUCAUGAUAUGACACGUGGCAGUAGUUAUGCAUAAAAAUUGUACUGUUAUUUGACUUAUUUCAGGAAAGUAUCACAAGUUCCUAGGUGUGCAGCAAUCGCAGAAGCAGUGGAGAACAAGAUCCUUCAUAGCUUCUUGGAGAAGGAGGAUUUCGGAGAGCAUGUACAACCAGAUGGCAAAGUCGAUGUUAUCAUUCACUGACUGCCGCCUUCAUAGGAAAAUCAACGAGCAUGUUGCUGCAGCUUAAAGCCUUAAAUACUUCUGCUCCUAGCUAGCUAUAAAAUUAGAGCAGAUACAUGUAUAGGUAUAGUAGCAUCUGUUGCUUUAAGUUAAAAGUCUAAAGUUAUUUUAAUCUUGCUUGCACAUUAUUAGAAGGUAGUUGGAAAAGGCAUAUGUCAUUAUUUUUAGGAGUUGAGAAACUACUUGUCUUCCUAUCAUGGCUGCAAGCUGAAUGUAAGAAACUAGCAAUAGAUUGAAAUUUGCGAGAGCAGAUGCAUUGUUUGGUGUA
Long non-coding RNA from Triticum aestivum (bread wheat), 646 nucleotides. RefSeq lists it as uncharacterized. The transcript is spliced from 2 exons. The record is from RefSeq and is a predicted model, not a curated record. Lineage: Eukaryota; Viridiplantae; Streptophyta; Magnoliopsida; Poales; Poaceae.